This is a long non-coding RNA of Oreochromis aureus, 1015 nucleotides long. Lineage: Eukaryota; Metazoa; Chordata; Actinopteri; Cichliformes; Cichlidae. The record is from Ensembl.
AAAAUUAAUCUUAAAAUCUUUUUUUAAAACUGCUGCUGUGUCCACGGUGUUUGGUCUACAGGUAUGAUUUUACCCUCAAAACGUAGCCAUCGCUGUCCUCUUUCAUCCAAUGUGUUUAUUAUUGUACUAGGUGUUAUGGUUCUGUCAUAAAUGUCACCAAAGCACAGCCUCCUCCCUCCAACUCUUCCAUAGACUCUAAUGUUAAAAUGGCUUAGAAGGUUCGUUUGAAAACCAGAAGUACAGGCUGUCUUUACACUGUCACCACGUCCAUAUAAUAAACUCCACAAGCAUGAAAACUGAGAAUUAGGUAGACUGGACAUUGCUGCCGCUCACGGUGAAAGAAUUUUGUCAAUACGACCUGUACUUUUCAUUUGGGAGCGAUUUGUUUCGGCCUGACUUUUCUGUUCAUUUUAAGCAGCUAAAGUGAGGUGCAUGUCUGUGCGUGUGUAUGGAGCCAUUGGGUGCAGUCACUAUAGCAACCAGGCUCACACCUGCCUGCCUAACGAGCUCUCUCUCACUCUGCCAAGAUUCAUCUUAAACACUUCUCUUUCAACCACUGCUGUGUCCACAGUGUUUGCUCUACAGCCAUCAUUUUACCCUCAAAACGAAGCCAUCGUUGUUCUCUUUCCAACAGCAUGUCUUUCAAAGCUCAGAAAUGUAAACCUUUAAAAGUGUGUGGAUCCAAGUGGAGGGAUUACAGUUUAGUCAUUCAGUGAUUCAAAGAAUAUGAACUUUUAAUAUUCAUUCAGAUGUUUUCUGACUCUAAAUUUUCUUUUCUCAUUUCUUAGGUUUUUCUAAUUUUAAUUUAAAAACUUUUCAGCUAUUUUCCAACUUCUUCUGUGUGGUUGUCAGCUUUCAAAAGUUCUGCACUUUUGUUUUUAGGUUAAAAACUCUGUAUUUUCCAGCUCAUUCAACAUUUUUAACUUAAAAUUCAGCAAUUAAUUCUUUUCAAUGUAUACAUUCAGAUUCAAGCAUUCACACUGCAGUUUCUUCAGAAAAUGCACUUUCUAGUUAU